CAGCCGCCGCGGGAACACAGAGGGUGCGAGCGUUAAUCGGAUUUACUGGGCGUAAAGCGUGCGUAGGCGGCUUCUUAAGUCGGAUGUGAAAUCCCUGAGCUUAACUUAGGAAUUGCAUUCGAUACUGGGAAGCUAGAGUAUGGGAGAGGAUGGUAGAAUUCCAGGUGUAGCGGUGAAAUGCGUAGAGAUCUGGAGGAAUACCGAUGGCGAAGGCAGCCAUCUGGCCUAAUACUGACGCUGAGGUACGAAAGCAUGGGGAGCAAACAGGAUUAGAGACCCCGGUAGUCCCUGUCUCUUAUAC
RNAcentral lists this ribosomal RNA (301 nucleotides) under uncultured bacterium. Its description in RNAcentral is "partial 16S ribosomal RNA". It matches the Rfam family "Bacterial small subunit ribosomal RNA", at positions 509 to 807 of the family's 1533-position model. The record is from RNAcentral.